This is a long non-coding RNA of Equus asinus (donkey), 3250 nucleotides long. Lineage: Eukaryota; Metazoa; Chordata; Mammalia; Perissodactyla; Equidae. The record is from Ensembl.
AGACAGAACUUGAGGGGAGCCAGACUUGGAGUCAGAGAGAUAAAUUAUGACACAUGGUGAGGAUGGAGCGAAGUGGACACAGCUGAAGCAUAUUUAGAAGGUGGAAUUGGUAGAACCUGGUGAUGGCUGGAUUUAAGAAGGAAAUAACCAGCCCUCUUCCAGGCUUACGGAAUAUCAAGAGGACCUCCCAGCUUAGGAAACAGUUUGGACUGCUUCAGGCUACAGAACUUCCGUAUUUCCACCAUCUUGAUCAUUGCUCUCAUCUGGGGCUCUUGACAUUGUGGGGUGGCUGAGAGCAAACUCCCGUGUGACAAGUGAGGCCAUGUAAGAACACUCCUGGGCUGACGUGCUGAAGGCAAGAAUGAGAGGUUAACCUCGGUUUGACUCCCUCUUCAAAAUGGCUGGAAGCUGUUGCCUUUGAUCCUCACCAAAGCCUUUAAUACUUUGGAGCCAGAGAACAGUAUUAUAUUUUUCAGUGCCAUCUAAAUCCCCCCGGUACAUAGUUGUGUAUUCUUCGUUGUGGGUUCCUCUAGUUGUGGCAUGUGGGAUGCUGCCUCAGCGUGGUCUGACAAGCAGUGCCAUGUCCGCGCCCAGGAUUCGAACCGACGAAACACUGGGCCGCCUGCAGCAGAGCGUGCGAACUUAACCACUCGGCCACGGGGCCAGCCCCUGUCUCAAGGUAUUUUUAAUUUCUCUCUUGAUUUCUUCUUUGACCUAUGGUUGUUCAGUAGCAUGUUGUUUAAUCUCCAUAUAUUUGUGAAUUUUUGUUUUUUUCUUGUAAUUGAUUUGUUUCAUACCGUUGUGGGCAGAAAAGAUGCUUGCUUGAUUUCAAUCUUUUUAAAUUUAAGACUUGUUUUGUGUCCUAACAUAUCCUCUAACCUGGAGAAUGUUCCAUGUGCACUUGAGAAGAAUGUAUAUUUUGUUGCUUUUGAAUGGAAUUUUUUUUUUUUUUGGUAUAUAUUUUUUGUAUAUAUUUGUUAAGUCCAUUCGAUGUAAUGUGUCAUUUAAGGCCAAUGUUUCCUUAUUGAUUUUCUGUCUGGAUGAUCUAUCAUUGAUGUAAGUGGCAUAAAGUCCCCUUCUAUUAUUGUAUUGCUGUCUAUUUCUCCUUUUCGUUCUGUUAAUAUUUUUUAGGUGCUCCUAUUUUGGGUGCAUAAAUACUUACAAAGGUUAUAUCUUCCUGUUGAAUUGACUCCUUUGUCAUUAUGUGAUGACCUUCUUUGCCUCUUAUUACAGUCUCUGUCUUAAAGUCCUAUUUUUUCUGAUAUAAGUAUAGCUACCCCAGCUUUAUUUUGGUUUCAUUUGCAUGGAAUAUCUUUUUUUCACCCCUUUACUUUCAGUUUGUGUGUAUCCUUACAUCUGAAGUUUGUCUCUUGUAGGCAGCAUUAUAGAUGACUCGUUUUUUUUUUAACUGAGAUAUACUUGACAUAUAAUAAUAUAUUUCAAGUAUAGAACAUAAUGAUUCAAUAUUUGUAUAUAUUGUGAAAUGAUCACCACACUAAGUCUAGUUAACAUCAAUUGCCACACAUAGAUGGGUCAUUUUUUUAUCCAUUCAGUCACUCUAUGUCUUUUGAUUGGAGAAUUUAGUCCAUUUACACUUAAAGUAAUUAUUGAUAGGUAUGUACUUAUUGCUGUUCAUUGUUUUCUGGCUGUUUUGUAAUUGUUUUCUUUCUUCUUCUCUUGCACUCUUUGUGAUUUGAUGAUUUUCUAUAAUGAUAUGCUUAAAUUUCUUUAUCUUUUUUGUGUCUACUAUAGGUUUUUGCUUUGUGGUUACCAUCAGGCUUACAUAAAACCACUUAUAUUUAUAACAGUCUAUUUUAAGUUGAUAUCAUCUUAAGUUUGAACACAUUCUGAAGAUCCAUAUUUUACUCCCUCCCCCACAUUGUUUUUCAUGUCACAGUUAACAUCUUUUUAACUUGUGUAUCCAAUAACAAAUUAUUGUAAUUAUAGUUAUUACUACUUUUGUCUUUUAACCUUUUAUACUAACUUUAUAAGUGAUUGACCCACCACCUUUAUGUUAGAUUAUUCUAAAUUUUUCUAUAUAUUUAUCUUUGCUAGUGAAAUUUACACUUUCAUAUGUUUUCCUGUUACUAAUUAGCACUCUUUUUUUUUCUUAAGAUUGGCACCUGGGCUAACAACUGUUGCCAAUCUUUUCUUUUCUCCACCCUCCUCCCCUGCACUUUAUCUCCCCAAACCUCCCCUGCACACAGCUGUAUAUCCCAGCCACAGGCCCUUCCAGUUGUGGGAUGCCGCCUCAAUGUGGCCUGACGUGUGGUGCCAUGUCCGCGCCCAGGAUCCAAACCCUGGGCCACCGCAGCAGAGCACGCAAACCCAACCACUCAGCCACGGAGCCGGCCCCUAAUUAGCACUCUUUCAUUUCGGCUUAAAGAGGUCCCUUUAACAUUUCUUGUAAGGCUGCUCUAAUGGUGAUGAACUCCUUUAGCUUUUGCUUCUCUGGAAGACUCUUUCUCUCUCCUUCAACUUGGAAGGAUAACUCUGUUGGGGUAGAGUAUUUUUGGUUGGAAGUUUUGUUUUCUUUCUUUUGGGGCUUUGAAUCCAUUAUUCUACUCCCUUCUGGCCUACAAAGUUUCUACUGAAAAAUCUCAUAGUUUUAUGGGAGUUCUCUUGUUUGUAACAAGUUGUUUUUCUCUUGCUGCUUUUAAGAUUCUCUUCGUGUUUUUAACUUUUGAUAGUUUAAAGUGUUUUGGUGUGGGUCUCUUUGGAUUCCUCUUAUUUGGGAUUCUCUGGGCUUCCUGGAUCUGAAUGUCUGUCAGAUUAGAAGCCUGCCCCUCAGGCCAAAGCUUUAAGAUAAGCAAAUAGGGCUCUUUCACAAAAUGGCUGGGCACUUGUCAAUUGGCUGCCUCUCUGCUGGGCCCUGGGGAGUAGCUGGGUAGAGUCCCUGCAGCUUCUUAAGAACUGGUUUUUAGGUGGGUGAAAUGAGCAAACAGGGUCAAAAGGUAGAAACUUGCAGCUAUAAAUAAGUUCUGGGGUGUAAUGUAUGACAUGAUGACUAUAGUUAGUAAUACUGUAUUGUAUGUUUGACAGUUGCUAAGACAGAGGUUAAAAAAAGCUAUUAGAAUUUCCUGUAGUCUUACAGUUUUUCUUUAUCUUUCAAAUUAAAAAUGUGACCAGACUGCAAAAACAAACAAACAAAAAUGUUUCUCAGUUCACUGUAGUCUUGUGGGUCUCAUGGAUGUAAGCCCCAUUGGCUUUCAAGUCUAGAUGUUUUGGGGGCUCAUCUCUCAGGUGCAAG